This 76-nucleotide transfer RNA is filed under the name Hyphomicrobiales bacterium. RNAcentral's name for it is "Rhizobiales bacterium tRNA-Met". It matches the Rfam family "tRNA". Rfam says of the family: Transfer RNA (tRNA) molecules are approximately 80 nucleotides in length. Their secondary structure includes four short double-helical elements and three loops (D, anti-codon, and T loops). The record is from RNAcentral. Lineage: Bacteria; Pseudomonadati; Pseudomonadota; Alphaproteobacteria; Hyphomicrobiales.
GGGAGUGUAGCUCAACGGUUAGAGCCAUCCGCUCAUAACGGAUUGGUUAUCGGUUCAAGUCCGGUCACUCCCACCA